RNAcentral lists this ribosomal RNA (253 nucleotides) under uncultured bacterium. RNAcentral's name for it is "partial 16S ribosomal RNA". It matches the Rfam family "Bacterial small subunit ribosomal RNA", at positions 524 to 776 of the family's 1533-position model. The record is from RNAcentral.
UACGUAGGGUGCGAGCGUUAAUCGGAAUUACUGGGCGUAAAGCGUGCGCAGGCGGUUUUGUAAGCCAGAUGUGAAAUCCCCGGGCUUAGCCUGGGAAUGGCAUUUGGGACUGCAAGGCUUGAGUGCGGCAGAGGAGACUGGAAUUCCUGGUGUAGCAGUGAAAUGCGUAGAUAUCAGGAGGAACACCGAUGGCGAAGGCAGGUCUCUGGGCUGACACUGACGCUCAUGCACGAAAGCGUGGGGAGCAAACAGG